GAUGAACGCUGGCGGCGUGCCUAAUACAUGCAAGUCGAGCGAACAGACGAGGAGCUUGCUCCUUUGACGUUAGCGGCGGACGGGUGAGUAACACGUAGGUAACCUACCUAUAAGACUGGGAUAACUUCGGGAAACCGGAGCUAAUACCGGAUAAUAUUUCGAACCGCAUUGUUCGAUAGUGAAAGAUGGCUUUGCUAUCACUUAUAGAUGGACCUGCGCCGUAUUAGCUAGUUGGUAAGGUAACGGCUUACCAAGGCAACGAUACGUAGCCGACCUGAGAGGGUGAUCGGCCACACUGGAACUGAGACACGGUCCAGACUCCUACGGGAGGCAGCAGUAGGGAAUCUUCCGCAAUGGGCGAAAGCCUGACGGAGCAACGCCGCGUGAGUGAUGACGGUCUUCGGAUCGUAAAACUCUGUUAUUAGGGAAGAACAAACGUGUAAGUAACUGUGCACGUCUUGACGGUACCUAAUCAGAAAGCCACGGCUAACUACGUG
RNAcentral lists this ribosomal RNA (497 nucleotides) under uncultured bacterium. RNAcentral's name for it is "partial 16S ribosomal RNA". It matches the Rfam family "Bacterial small subunit ribosomal RNA", at positions 28 to 507 of the family's 1533-position model. The record is from RNAcentral.